UGGCGAUGCGUUUAAGCAUGCAAGUCGAGCGGGCUUAUUCGGGCAACUGGAUAAGUUAGCGGCGAACUGGUGAGUAACACGUAGGUAAUCUGCCGUGAAGUGGGGGAUAACCCAUGGAAACAUGGACUAAUACCGCAUAUACUCUUGCUACAUAAGUAGAGUAGAGGAAAGUUUUUUCGCUUCACGAUGAGCCUGCGGCCUAUUAGCCUGUUGGUAGGGUAAUGGCUACCAAAGCUACGAUAGGUAGCCGACCUGAGAGGGUGACCGGCCACAUUGGGACUGAGAUACGGCCCAGACUCCUACGGGAGGCAGCAGCUGAGAAUCUUCCACAAUGGACGAAAGUCUGAUGGAGCGACAUCGCGUGAGGGAUGAAGGCCUUCGGGUUGUAAACCUCGGAAAUUAUCGAAGAAUGAGUGACAGUAGAUAAUG
This 429-nucleotide ribosomal RNA is filed under the name Brachyspira pilosicoli. Its description in RNAcentral is "bacterial SSU rRNA". It matches the Rfam family "Bacterial small subunit ribosomal RNA", at positions 37 to 484 of the family's 1533-position model. Lineage: Bacteria; Pseudomonadati; Spirochaetota; Spirochaetia; Brachyspirales; Brachyspiraceae. The record is from RNAcentral.